RNAcentral lists this ribosomal RNA (256 nucleotides) under Salmonella enterica subsp. enterica serovar Oslo. RNAcentral describes it as "partial 23S ribosomal RNA". It matches the Rfam family "Bacterial large subunit ribosomal RNA", at positions 1 to 248 of the family's 2925-position model. Lineage: Bacteria; Pseudomonadati; Pseudomonadota; Gammaproteobacteria; Enterobacterales; Enterobacteriaceae. The record is from RNAcentral.
GGGUUGUGAGGUUAAGCGACUAAGCGUACACGGUGGAUGCCCUGGCAGUCAGAGGCGAUGAAGGGCGUGCUAAUCUGCGAUAAGCGCCGGUAAGGUGAUAUGAACCGUUAUAACCGGCGAUACCCGAAUGGGGAAACCCAGUGUGACUCGUCACACUAUCAUUAACUGAAUCCAUAGGUUAAUGAGGCGAACCGGGGGAACUGAAACAUCUAAGUACCCCGAGGAAAAGAAAUCAACCGAGAUUCCCCCAGUAGCG